This 252-nucleotide ribosomal RNA is filed under the name uncultured bacterium. RNAcentral describes it as "partial 16S ribosomal RNA". It matches the Rfam family "Bacterial small subunit ribosomal RNA", at positions 524 to 776 of the family's 1533-position model. The record is from RNAcentral.
UACAGGGGGGGCAAGCGUUGUUCGGAAUUACUGGGCGUAAGGGCUCGUAGGCGGCCAACUAAGUCCGACGUGAAAUCCCAAAGCUUAACUUUGGAACUGCGUCGGAUACUGGAUGGCUUGAAUUCGGGAGAGGGAUGCAGAAUUCCAGGUGUAGCGGUGAAAUGCGUAGAUAUCCGGAGGAACACCGGUGGCGAAGGCGGCUUCCUGGACCGACACUGACGCUGAGGCGCGAAAGCUAGGGGAGCAAACGGG